UACGGGGGGGGCAAGCGUUGUUCGGAAUUACUGGGCGUAAAGGGCGCGUAGGCGGUUGGAUAAGUCAGCUGUGAAAACCACGAGCUUAACUCGUGGCCUGCAGUCGAUACGGGCAGGCUAGAGUUCGGUAGGGGAGACUGGAAUUCCUGGUGUAGCGGUGAAAUGCGCAGAUAUCAGGAGGAACACCGGUGGCGAAGGCGGGUCUCUGGGCCGAUACUGACGCUGAGGAGCGAAAGCGUGGGGAGCGAACAGG
Molecule: ribosomal RNA, 253 nt
Filed under: uncultured bacterium
Lineage: Bacteria
Description: partial 16S ribosomal RNA
Rfam family: Bacterial small subunit ribosomal RNA
Source: RNAcentral